This 253-nucleotide ribosomal RNA is filed under the name uncultured bacterium. RNAcentral's name for it is "partial 16S ribosomal RNA". It matches the Rfam family "Bacterial small subunit ribosomal RNA", at positions 524 to 776 of the family's 1533-position model. The record is from RNAcentral.
GACGGAGGGUGCUAGCGUUGUUCGGAAUUACUGGGCGUAAAGGGCGCGUAGGCGGCCUCUUAAGUCGGGUGUGAAAGCCCGGGGCUCAACCCCGGAACGGCCCUCGAUACUGUGGGGCUUGAGACCGGAAGAGGUGAGUGGAAUACCCAGUGUAGAGGUGAAAUUCGUAGAUAUUGGGUGGAACACCGGUGGCGAAGGCGGCUCACUGGUCCGGUUCUGACGCUGAUGUGCGAAAGCGUCGGGAGCAAACAGG